AUUGAACGCUGGCGGCAGGCUUAACACAUGCAAGUCGAACGAUGAAGAUAUAGCUUGCUAUAUCGGAUUAGUGGCGGACGGGUGAGUAACACUUAGGAAUCUACCUUUUAGCGGGGGAUAGCUCGGGGAAACUCGAAUUAAUACCGCAUAAUUUCUACGGAAUAAAGAGGGCUUUUAGCUCUCACUAGAAGAUGAGCCUAAGUAAGAUUAGCUAGUUGGUGGGGUAAAAGCCUACCAAGGCGACGAUCUUUAGCUGGUCUGAGAGGAUGAUCAGCCACACUGGGACUGAGACACGGCCCAGACUCCUACGGGAGGCAGCAGUGGGGAAUAUUGGACAAUGGGGGCAACCCUGAUCCAGCCAUGCCGCGUGUGUGAAGAAGGCCUUUUGGUUGUAAAGCACUUUAAGCAGUGAAGAAGACCUAUUGGUUAAUACCCAAUAGUGAUGACAUUAACUGCAGAAUAAGCACCGGCUAACUCUGUGCCAGCAGCCGCGGUAAUACAGAGGGUGCAAGCGUUAAUCGGAAUUACUGGGCGUAAAACGAGCGUAGGUGGUUAAAUAAGUCAGAUGUGAAAGCCCUGGGCUCAACCUAGGAACGGCAUCUGAAACUAUUUAACUAGAGUAGGUGAGAGGGAAGUAGAAUUUCAGGUGUAGCGGUGAAAUGCGUAGAGAUCUGAAGGAAUACCGAUGGCGAAGGCAGCUUCCUGGCAUCAUACUGACACUGAGGCUUGAAAGCGUGGGUAGCAAACAGG
This 750-nucleotide ribosomal RNA is filed under the name uncultured bacterium. RNAcentral's name for it is "bacterial SSU rRNA". It matches the Rfam family "Bacterial small subunit ribosomal RNA", at positions 28 to 776 of the family's 1533-position model. The record is from RNAcentral.